This 72-nucleotide transfer RNA is filed under the name Streptococcaceae bacterium. Its description in RNAcentral is "tRNA-Arg". It matches the Rfam family "tRNA". From Rfam's summary of the family: Transfer RNA (tRNA) molecules are approximately 80 nucleotides in length. Lineage: Bacteria; Bacillati; Bacillota; Bacilli; Lactobacillales; Streptococcaceae. The record is from RNAcentral.
GCUCCCUUAGUAUAAUGGAUAGUACGCGGGUUUCCUAAACCUACGAUGUCGGUUCGACUCCGGCAGGGAGCA